GCUUGAAGAUCACUCUGCUCCUGCACUUCUUUCUGCUGAUGACACUGUGUCAUGUGGUGGGGUCCCUUCCCCAGGAGCCGCUCUCACUGGUGGCAUCACCUCAGAUGGCGCUCAAGAUCCAGGAGGCCCAGUGUCUGCAGCAACAGUGACACCAGCUUCUGUCCCACUUGUGGCAGCAUGCAGAGGUCUGGUGUCAGCUGACCUCUCAGAAAGACACACAGCUCAAGUUCUGUUUCAUACAACAGCUCAUGGUGCAGCUGCUGUGUGAGGAGAAUCAGGCAAGAGGAGACCCAGGUAAUGGAGCUGUCCAGGUUCCUGCAUGGAGGACUCGGCUACCUCCAUGCCUUCUCCAUGUUCUCAUCCUACCCACCACAGCGUCUGGAAGCCACCAAGCAGCAGAAGCAGCAGUCAUCCCCGCUGAGCCUCCUCGUUCUGCGUUGGCAAGGACACAUCAGCGUCAGGGUGGAGAGUGUCUGGUACUUCUCUUGUGGGGUUGACCAGAGAUCAUUCUGGCAGCUCCCAAUAGAAGAUGAAGGGGACAAAGAGGACAGGCAUGUUCAACAUGGACCAGUGUGACCAUUCCUGGGACAGACUAGAUGCCAGGGCAACAUUAUUAAUGAAGAUUUCACCAGUGCCCAGGAAGCACUCACUUGACAGCAUCAGCAGCUGAGGGAACAGAAGCAGCCAUGCCAGUGCCUGGCUUGCCUGGCAACCCUGACCCAGGGUGAGCCUGAGGAGGUGCUGGCUCCAGCAGAGAGGAUGACUGCCUGUCUGGGCAAAGCCACCAGGCUCGAAAGCAGGCCAUGGCAAAGCUGACAGGGAUGACUACAGAGUCCAGGAUGAAAGCUGGUGUCCUAGAGGGGCUUAAGGAGACCCUGAAUGGACUCCAUAAAUUCCAUCACAAGGAUCGGGGACAAAUCAAGAACAGAGAGAUUUGAGAGACAAUUCUCCUUCACCAAGAUGUUUGUGAACAUCUGCAUAUUUCCAAUCACAUGUCAACAUCUCCCAUUCUAUAAAGCUUUUGAACCUCCCUAUAAGCAAUAUUGUUCUGUCAGGUAAUUUGCAGCUACAAACCUAGGUAGCGGCAUUAAAAAAUGUUAGCUUGCAUAGUCUGAUUUUACAUUGAAGAAAUGUAGAUCAUUGGAUCAUUCAAGGCUCGCCAUGGCUUGACCUCACUUGGGAUUUUUUUGUUGUUCUUCUUCUUUUUUUAGUACUUUCCUUUUUAUGACAAGAUAAUGUUUGUGUGCAUACCGUAGUCCAAAUGACAGAAAACUAUACCCAGGGUCAAAGUCUCCCUGAUUCCCAUUUUCCCAGGCCCAUAGUUGUUGCUUUUACUUUCAUAUUUUACUAUUAUUAGCUCUCAAUAGUUUCCCUAUAGUUUUACAUUUAAUUUAUCAAUGUGAACAACUGUUUUGCUGACUUUCAUAAAAGUUUUAUUUCUCAUCGCACAUUAUCCUUUUCCUCUUCCCACUUUGUGAAAUGUGCUCUGUGUUAAUUUAAAUUUAGCAAUAUUCAUAAAAGCAUAGGGGAGACUGAUUAGACAACAGUAUGGGACUAUGGAAGAGAAGAAAAUAAAAGGGAGGUUAAUUGUUGGGUUAGAUAUCAUCAAAA
Long non-coding RNA from Cavia porcellus (domestic guinea pig), 1611 nucleotides. RefSeq lists it as uncharacterized. The transcript is spliced from 5 exons. NCBI's taxonomy places the organism in Eukaryota, Metazoa, Chordata, Mammalia, Rodentia, Caviidae. The record is from RefSeq and is a predicted model, not a curated record.